CAAAGCACUUUGAAGAGAGAGUUAAAGAGGACGUGAAACCGAUGAGGUGGAAACGGACAGAGCCGGCGUAUCUGGCCCGCAUUCAGCAGUGGGCUUGCGUGCUCCUUCGCUGCUGCUCUCCAGACUGGGACAGUGGUGUUGUUUGUGCGUGAGCUUGUUGUGCAUUUGCGGGUGGAGUGCGCCGAGGCGCUCGGUGCAGCUGUGCGAGCUUCGUCUUGAGGCCAGCUCCUCACGGAGUCUGGUACCCGGGCGGGGGGAGUGCUGUUUGCGCUGAGUGGAUGUGUGCGUGUGGUGAUGGUUUCGGGCCCGGGUGGGCGCCGAGCUGGCAGUUGGUGACGGUCGCGUGCGACACGUGCCCGCGUUCAGUUCGGUCCUGCUCGAGCUCCCUCUUUGCCACGCCUCGGUGUAAAAGCCGGUCAUCUGUCCGACCCGUCUUGAAACACGGACCAAGGAGUUUAGCGUGUGCGCGAGUCAUUGGGCGUUGAAAACCCAAGGGCGCAAUGAAGGUGAAUGACUCCCUCGUGGAGCUGAUGUGUGAUCCCUGGUGCUGCGGCGCCGGGGCGCAACAUGGUCCCGUUCUGACCGCUUGCGGUGGGGCGGAGACAGAGCGUACGCGCUGAGAUCCGAAAGAUGGUGAACUAUUCCUGAGCAGGAUGAAGCCAGAGGAAACUCUGGUGGAAGUCCGAAGCGAUUCUGACGUGCAAAUCGAUCGUCUGACUUGGGUAUAGGGGCGAAAGACUAAUCGAACCAUC
RNAcentral lists this ribosomal RNA (752 nucleotides) under Rotylenchus sp. D6-3. RNAcentral's name for it is "eukaryotic LSU rRNA". It matches the Rfam family "Eukaryotic large subunit ribosomal RNA", at positions 367 to 944 of the family's 3401-position model. Lineage: Eukaryota; Metazoa; Nematoda; Chromadorea; Rhabditida; Hoplolaimidae. The record is from RNAcentral.